RNAcentral lists this non-coding RNA (23 nucleotides) under Arabidopsis thaliana (thale cress). The record is from RNAcentral. Lineage: Eukaryota; Viridiplantae; Streptophyta; Magnoliopsida; Brassicales; Brassicaceae.
GAUGGUAAUACAACGAAUCAACG